CCUUCCCUCCUCCCUCUCCUUGCCGCCGUCAGGCCGCCGUCAGGCCGCCCUGACGGUUGAAGUCUGGUCGGCUUCGCCACGCCCUUUUUUCUCGCCUGCUUGGUGAUGGAUGGCGCGGGACGAUCGCGUCGAGCAGUUGCGCUUGCGUUGCCGUAGGGCGCGGCGGCUCGGUGGCGACUGCUGGCGUCAGAGUGCUGGCCGCUGGUCAUUGACAUGGAGAUUUUCGCAUAGGUGGUUCCCCUGUCUACGGCGGCGGCCGAUUUGGCCGGGCGAAGAUUUACACGGAGAUGCCUCCCGUGUCUGGCCGAUUUGACCCGGUGCAGAUAUGGAUUCGGGCUGUUCUGGACUCCAGAAGGUGGCCCUUCCUGGUUGUGCGGAGAAUCGAAGUAGGAGAUGGCCAUGGUCAGCGCCGCUUGGUGCUUCUGUGCGUGUCCACUCAUCAGCCACAUAUAGCCAUGCCUUGUGGUGGGAUCUUGAAGCUCAGCUGUUGUUUUAUCUUUGUUUGUCUUCUGCUGAUCCAUGUUCUUCUUGGGUUUUCCCUGUGUUGUUCCAAGUGGAUGUGCAGAGAGGAGGAGCCUAUCGUCGGCGAGGACGGCUAUGUGCAGAGAGGAGGAGCCUAUCGUCGGCGAGGACGGCUUGCUUCAAUGUCGCCUCCUCCGGAGUCCGGAGGCACCCCUGCGUUUGGUGGCUCUCCGUGUUGGUUUUUGUGCCUGGCGUGGAAGGCAUACUAGGUCUUCAUCUGGUGGCGGCGGGCGUUUCCCUCAGGCUGUGUUUGUAUCUCCUGGCUGCAGGCAUGACUGUACUGAAUGUUCUGAUCGAAAGAAAGACAAUAUGCAGAUCUCAUUUGGUCAAACAUGUAGCCCCCAAAUCCUUUCAAUGGAAUAUCUUUGCACGUAUAUGCCUCAUCUAGGAAAACAAAGACAACCAAACAUGGCAGAACAUUUACGAGCUAGGGUUCAUUGUUGUGAACUGUGAGGUGUUGUUGUCUCACUCCUUCACUUGGGUACAAAAAAUGGCUGGCCUUGCUGGUCGGUAUUUUAUUAAAAGGUCAGGAAUCAAUCUCCCUAGGUCCCGAUCAAAGUGCUCCAGCUCAUGGUUGUCCACCAUAUUUAUGACCUGGCCGACGCCGUCGGCAGCUUACCUUGCGUUCCCAUCUGGAAACCUGAACAUCAUCUCUCCCUAACUCCAACCCACAUCUAUAAUACUUUUCUGUUCUCCUAUUUGGUGUUGUUUGAUAAAUCAAUUAACAUAAGUACAUUGUGGCAUGUUCUUUUACUAACCUGAAUUUACUAUUUCCAUGUUUUAGGAUGAACGGCCAUUGCUCAUGUCUUGGAUUCAUAUGGUUUGUGUUGCUCUAGGUGCAUUCCUGUGAUGGUCUAUGUUCAUUUAACAGGGAUUUUAUCAAUUCAUGCUUAAUUUACAAGUUGUAGUAUUGGCACUUCACUAAUCAGUGUAGAAAACCAUGGCUGCUUUAUUCAAGUGAGGAGAGGCUUGAAAGCAAAAUUGCAAAAUGAAAGGUUAUAUAAUCUUUCACAUCACCUAUCAGAGGCAUUUUUCCGAUGUAAUUUCACUACCAUUAUUGCUUCCCUUUUUUGCCAAGGUUUGGUGUUUUCUUAUAUAAAAAGAGGUUCUAUUGAGGCAUCUUUGAUAUCCAGGUACACGACAUAUUUCCAUUUUUGUAUUUGUUUUCCAAGAGGUGCUAAAAUCCUAGGCGGCCAUUCGAUCGUGGAUGAGACAAAAAAAAAAUCCUUGCUAUGUUACUAGAAUGAUGCCAUACUAAAAUAUAAUUUGCCAGGUAUUCGUUUUUAUGUGGUCUGUUGUCACUGCCAACGUAGCAUUAUUGCUUAGUUAGCUGUGAAUAGAGAAAAUCCCUUUCCAUCAAUCUAUUGUUGUGUACAGACUUUUAGCCCUCAAAUAGUGUGAGUUGGGAGUUAAACUGCACGUCCUCAAGUUUCAUUAGUGCUGAUUAUAUAGGCUACUUAAUGGAAUAUUGUUUCCUUCAACCUCUUCAUACACUCCAAUUCAACUAGAUUUAAUUCAUGAGGGCGCCUCUGUUUAAGCAUUUGUCAUUUUGCAGCCAAUACAAGCUGGAUCUUUGACUUCUUUGUUGUGUGUAGUGGCCAUGUUCUUCCUGCAGGUGCUAUUUUAUCUGUAAGUCGUUACCGGAAGCCUUGCGGUGGAUUCCUCGAAUGUCUAUGUAGAAAGUAUUUAGAAGGCCUAUUAGUACCUCUUGCUAAUGCUUUAUUAUUACCAUUUAACUAUUUUCCAUUUCACUGGAGGUACAUAAAUCUGAAACUGCAGCUUUUGAACUAAACAAGCAUAGAAAGGGCUAGAAGGAGCCAGGUCAAAGCCAUUUGCAUGUGUAAUUGAUCAGUAAUAAUGCAUUAUUACUACUAUCAGAGAUAUUAUGAAUGCAACUUUAAUUUCUGCUACUAAAUUAGAAAUUUAAACAUCUCUUCGUUCUAUUUAAAAGUUUAUCCUGAAUUGAAAGUAUUAUAGGUGCAGGCAACAUGGUGCAGGCUGCAUUCAUUAACUAUAAGGCAUUGUUGUGACCUGUGACCAUCCACAGGUUUUAGAAGCAGAGAUCAUGCCUGGAAGUAAUAAAGAUAUUAGGUGGUACAGGUCGUCCCUUUGCUAUCCACAUGUGGUCAUGUGCCUAUGAUAGUGAUGGCUCAAACAUGGACUAACCGGUGAUAUUGGACAUCAGCAGAACUGUCGCUUUGAUCUUCUAGGUUCUCCUCCGUAGGGUACGUAAUGAUUAGUAGGCGCUGAAAUGGUAAUAAGCUUAAGAUUAGUAGGCCGCCUCUCCCAACCGGUAGGCCAUAUGUACCGGGACAUGAUCUACUUUUGGUUACCAGCAAAAUGACCACUACACAACUACUGUCAUUUGUAUUUUGCUACUAUGGUUAGACAUUAGAUGCCACCAGACAUAUCUCCAUGACUACAAACCAUGUGAUGUAUAAUAUGCAGCAAAACCAUUUGAAUUAUCCAUAGUAAAACCAUCCUCUAUGUAAUGAUCUAUCCCUGCUAUUUAUAUUCUGCACUAUUAUCUAUUCAUAUCACUGAUAAUAGAUACCCUUUAUUUGUUCUAAUCCACCCGAAGAAGCUACAGCAUAAGUGUACUGUUUUGUGUGCACUAAUUCUUUAUUCUGCUCCUUACGUA
This is a long non-coding RNA of Lolium perenne, 3163 nucleotides long. RefSeq lists it as uncharacterized. The record is from RefSeq and is a predicted model, not a curated record. Lineage: Eukaryota; Viridiplantae; Streptophyta; Magnoliopsida; Poales; Poaceae.